Molecule: ribosomal RNA, 253 nt
Filed under: uncultured bacterium
Lineage: Bacteria
Description: partial 16S ribosomal RNA
Rfam family: Bacterial small subunit ribosomal RNA
Source: RNAcentral
UACAGAGACUGCAAGCGUUAUUCGGAUUCACUGGGCGUAAAGGGUGCGCAGGCGGCCGUGUGUGUGAGGCGUGAAAGCCCGGAGCUUAACUCCGGAAUUGCACCUCAAACUACAUGGCUAGAGCAUUGGAGAGGGUAGCGGAAUUCACGGUGUAGCAGUGAAAUGCGUAGAUAUCGUGAGGAACACCAGUGGCGAAGUCGAGUCCCUGGACAACGACUGACACUGAGGCACGAAAGCUAGGGGAGCAAACAGG